This 744-nucleotide ribosomal RNA is filed under the name uncultured Planctomycetota bacterium. Its description in RNAcentral is "bacterial SSU rRNA". It matches the Rfam family "Bacterial small subunit ribosomal RNA", at positions 8 to 747 of the family's 1533-position model. The record is from RNAcentral. Lineage: Bacteria; Pseudomonadati; Planctomycetota.
AGGGUUUGAUCAUGGGCUCAGAACGAACGCUGGCGGCGUGGCUAAGGCAUGCAAGUCGAACGGACGUAUCUCUAGGGUAACCGAAGGAUACGUUAGUGGCGAACGGGUGAGGAGUACAUGGAUAACGUACCUCGGUCUUGGGAAUAGCGGCGGGCUUCGGCCCUUUGCGAAAGCGCCGGUAAUACCCAACGACCCCACGGCAUCGAAUGUUGCUGUGGGCAAAGCUCCGGCGGUCUGAGAGCGGUCCAUGUCCUAUCAGCUUGUUGGUGGGGUAAAGGCCUACCAAGGCAACGACGGGUACCGGGCGUGAGAGCGUGACCCGGCACAUCGGAACUGAGACACUGUCCGGACACCUACGGGUGGCUGCAGCAACGAAUAUUCCGCAAUGGACGAAAGUCUGACGGAGCGACGCCGCGUGCAGGAAGAAGUCCCUCGGGAUGUAAACUGCUGUCAGGGGCUAGAAAGAUCUGAUCAGCCCCAGAGGAAGCCUCGGCUAACUACGUGCCAGCAGCCGCGGUAAUACGUAGGAGGCUAGCGUUGUUCGGAAUUACUGGGCUUAAAGAGCGUGUAGGCGGAGUAUCAGGUGCCUUGUGAAAGCCCUCGGCUCAACCGAGGAAUGGCUGGGCAACCGGUACUCUUGAGGCAGGUAGAGGUGACUGGAACGACUGGUGGAACCGGGAAAUGCGUAAAUAUCAUUUGGAACGCCGGGNGGCGAAAGCGGGUUCCUGGGCCUGUCCUGACCCU